Molecule: long non-coding RNA, 504 nt
Organism: Gossypium arboreum
Lineage: Eukaryota; Viridiplantae; Streptophyta; Magnoliopsida; Malvales; Malvaceae
Exons: 2
Source: RefSeq, a predicted model, not a curated record
GUUGCACCGAAUGUUGAAAAGUUGAAUGGGAUAAUUGUAAUUUUGAUCCCUAAUUUUUAGGCCAUUUGCAAGUUAGUCCCUGAAUUUCAACUAUAAAUAGACCUUCUCAUUUUUCAUUUCAACUAUCCCAACCAAUCUUUCUCUCUUAGUUUUCUCUCUUCUCCCAUUUGAGAAUUCUUAAGGAAUUUUAUUUGUUUGUAUUAUUUUGGAGAUAAUAAAGUUAUCAUCUGGUGUUAGUGCCCGAGGACUUUAAACUGAUCUUCCAUAUCAAAAAAGAUUUCCUUAGGUAUAUUGAAAGAUUAUGGAGAAAACGGUCGGUGUAGGAGCUUCAACAUCGUCCAUAUGGAUAAGACCGAAAAUUACAAAUGCAAGAUUGGCCGUGGAAAUCUUUGAUGGCACCGGCCAUUUUGGUAUAUGGCAAAGUGAGGUUCUAGAUGCCCUUUUUCAGCAGGGUCUAGACAUUGCCAUUGAUGAAGAGAAACCAGAUGAUGUACAAGAGAAAGA